RNAcentral lists this ribosomal RNA (433 nucleotides) under uncultured bacterium. Its description in RNAcentral is "partial 16S ribosomal RNA". It matches the Rfam family "Bacterial small subunit ribosomal RNA", at positions 29 to 507 of the family's 1533-position model. The record is from RNAcentral.
AACGAACGCUGGCGGCAUGCCUAACACAUGCAAGUCGAACGAGACCUUCGGGUCUAGUUGCGCACGGGUGCGUAACGCGUGGGAACCUGCCCUUAGGUUCGGAAUAACUCCCCGAAAGGGGUGCUAAUACCGGAUAAUGUCUUCGGACCAAAGAUUUAUCGCCUUUGGAUGGGCCCGCGUUGGAUUAGCUAGUUGGUAGGGUAAAAGCCUACCAAGGCGACGACCGAUAGCUGGUCUGAGAGGAUGAUCAGCCACACUGGGACUGAGACACGGCCCAGACUCCUACGGGAGGCAGCCGUGGGGAAUAUUGGACAAUGGGCGAAAGCCUGAUCCAGCAAUGCCGCGUGAGUGAUGAAGGCCUUAGGGUUGUAAAGCUCUUUUACCCGGGAUGAUAAUGACAGUACCGGGAGAAUAAGCUCCGGCUAACUCCGUG